GAGGGUGUAGCUCAGUGGUAGAGUGUGUGCUUAGCAUGCACGAGGCCCUGGGUUCCAUCCCUAGUACCUCCA
RNAcentral lists this transfer RNA (72 nucleotides) under Camelus bactrianus (Bactrian camel). It matches the Rfam family "tRNA". Rfam says of the family: Transfer RNA (tRNA) molecules are approximately 80 nucleotides in length. Their secondary structure includes four short double-helical elements and three loops (D, anti-codon, and T loops). RNAcentral also lists the same sequence under 2 other names. The record is from Rfam by way of RNAcentral. Lineage: Eukaryota; Metazoa; Chordata; Mammalia; Artiodactyla; Camelidae.